Molecule: ribosomal RNA, 504 nt
Filed under: uncultured bacterium
Lineage: Bacteria
Description: partial 16S ribosomal RNA
Rfam family: Bacterial small subunit ribosomal RNA
Source: RNAcentral
GAUGAGCGCUAGCGGCAGGCCUAAUACAUGCAAGUCGAACGGGAUCUGAGGGUAGCUUGCUACCCGAUUUGAGAGUGGCGCACGGGUGCGUAACGCGUGAGCAACCUACCCAUAUCAGGGGGAUAGCCCGAAGAAAUUCGGAUUAACACCGCAUAAUAAUACGCUAACACAUGUUGAUGUAUUUAAAUAUUUAUAGGAUAUGGAUGGGCUCGCGUGACAUUAGCUAAUUGGUAAGGUAACGGCUUACCAAGGCGACGAUGUCUAGGGGCUCUGAGAGGAGAAUCCCCCAAACUGGUACUGAGACACGGACCAGACUCCUACGGGAGGCAGCAGUAAGGAAUAUUGGUCAAUGGGCGCAAGCCUGAACCAGCCAUGCCGCGUGCAGGAUGACUGCCCUAUGGGUUGUAAACUGCUUUUGUUAGGGAAUAAACCUUCUUACGUGUAAGGAGCUGAAUGUACCUAAAGAAUAAGGAUCGGCUAACUCCGUGCCAGCAGCCGCAGUAA